This 752-nucleotide ribosomal RNA is filed under the name uncultured bacterium. RNAcentral describes it as "bacterial SSU rRNA". It matches the Rfam family "Bacterial small subunit ribosomal RNA", at positions 566 to 1316 of the family's 1533-position model. The record is from RNAcentral.
AGCUCGUAGGUGGUUUGUCGCGUUGUUCGUGAAAUCUCACGGCUUAACUGUGAGCGUGCGGGCGAUACGGGCAGACUUGAGUACUGCAGGGGAGACUGGAAUUCCUGGUGUAGCGGUGGAAUGCGCAGAUAUCAGGAGGAACACCGGUGGCGAAGGCGGGUCUCUGGGCAGUAACUGAUGCUGAGGAGCGAAAGCGUGGGGAGCGAACAGGAUUAGAUACCCUGGUAGUCCACGCCGUAAACGGUGGGUACUAGGUGUGGGUUUCCUUCCUUGGGAUCCGUGCCGUAGCUAACGCAUUAAGUACCCCGCCUGGGGAGUACGGCCGCAAGGCUAAAACUCAAAGAAAUUGACGGGGGCCCGCACAAGCGGCGGAGCAUGUGGAUUAAUUCGAUGCAACGCGAAGAACCUUACCUGGGUUUGACAUGCACAGGACGCCGGCAGAGAUGUCGGUUCCCUUGUGGCCUGUGUGCAGGUGGUGCAUGGCUGUCGUCAGCUCGUGUCGUGAGAUGUUGGGUUAAGUCCCGCAACGAGCGCAACCCUUGUCUCAUGUUGCCAGCGGGUAAUGCCGGGGACUCGUGAGAGACUGCCGGGGUCAACUCGGAGGAAGGUGGGGAUGACGUCAAGUCAUCAUGCCCCUUAUGUCCAGGGCUUCACACAUGCUACAAUGGCCGGUACAAAGGGCUGCGAUGCCGCGAGGUUAAGCGAAUCCUUUUAAAGCCGGUCUCAGUUCGGAUCGGGGUCUGCAACUCGAC